CUUACACUACUGAUUACACACACCAUUGUAAUUGUAUUUAGAUUACUUCAGUUAAAAUAUUUUGAUAUUCCUUAUCGCCACGUUGUCUCCCUUCGAGCCGGUUCGUGACAAUUAAAAUUACCAAUUUCUAUUUAAAUCAAACGAUUUCUAUAUUGUAAUAAAUAAUAUCCUUAAUUAACAGCGUUGGACUGUUAGAACCUGUUAUAACUACUUAGAACCUGCUAUAACUACUGCUUGCAUAAGUGUACACUGUUCCUCAAUACUCUUCGAUGUUACACACAAACACAUUCUGUACUCAACAGAUACUAACCACACACACACACCCAGAAACAGAUGGCUGACUCAAACGUUGCAUGACACUGUCAAAAAACGGGAAGCGCCCUGACCACAGACACUAACUGCUAGUUUCAGCAAUCACAUUCUCGUGACUCUCAAAACACACAGUCAUGCCUCUGUAUGAACACACACACACACACACACACACACACACACACACACACACACACACACACACACACACACACACACACACACACACACACACACACACACACACACACACACACACACACACACACACACACACACACACACACACACACACACACACCUCUCCCAAUGGGUUGGGUUUAAAGGACAAAGAACACUGCCAAGAACCAAUGGAGCAUCAACACCAGGUCAGGACGGGACCUUCCUCAACCCUCAUCGACCAGUCAGGAGAACAGAACUACUAGACUCAACCUACGUCAUUUCAAUGUAUAAAAUCUAAUGCACACUAUGUUUAGGGACUCUCUUCCGCUAGUUCCCUCUGAGCUAAACGAACGAGUCUGUGCACACUUUGCAAGAUAUCUUUGACUCUGAAUAAACUGCCUUUACUAUAUCUAAGUCCACCCUGUCCAGCGUCUUGACUUGGUCCCAUUCUCAUGUAAAUGAUCAUCAACAAUAUUCAAUUGAGAGCUAAUAUAUUUCAGCAAAAUGUGAUUUUUCAUAGAUAUACGUUGGUUAUGUAAUGUUCCAAAUUGCAUACUUGCGUUCUAUCUAGAGCGUAUAGCAAGUGCGUAAGUCAACUGUCAUUUUUCAAGUGCGAUUCCAAAUCUAAGAAAGCGAAACGGCAAGUAAUGUUCUAAUUUUCCAGGAAGUUCUAUUAGCAUACUAGGGAGGUUUGGAAAACAAAGCACGCAUGGGAGCAUACAUUUUCGUUCCCUUCGCCAGGGCAACACAGCGGAUAAAAACUUCUGAAUUAAUGGCGGACAUAAGUUCCCACUUGUGAGAAAAUGUUCCAGAGGAAUAUAUUUGUCAAAUGUUGAAGCACAUCGCACCCCACCACCCAGACAGAUGUAAAGAACUUGGGAACCUCCCAUCCACCAGGGAAAUCACCCAAUUCCAGGAGUUUAUUCAGGAGUUUAUUCAGCAGCGUGCAACGUCACUGUUAAAAGUAGACCCACACAUAUUAUUCUCUAUCAUGGAGAAUUGUCAGCUCAUUGUAACAUAUGAAGCUAAUUUACAAUAGACGUGGGUGAUUCUGCCCUAUGUGCAAGUUUUUAUUGCUGCCCAGCAAACAUGUUCAAUUAUUCAUUGUCUAAAAUUUAGACCGCAAUUAGUUGAAUGUGAAUAGGCUAAGGAUGGCAAUUUUAAAAAGGCCAUCAGACUGUUAAAUAAUGUUUACAUACUGUAUUUUAGUCAUCCUAAUAUUUAUAUAUUUCUUAAUUCAAUUAUUUUACUUUUAGAUUUGUGUGUAUUGUUAUGAAAUGCACUGUUGGAGUUAGGAACACAAGCAUUUCCCUACACCUACAAUAACAUCUGCUAAAUAUGUGUAUGUGACCAAUAACAUCUGCUAAAUAUGUGUAUGUGACCAAUAACAUCUGCUAAAUAUGUGUAUGUGAUCAAUAACAUCUGCUAAAUAUGUGUAUGUGACCAAUAACAUCUGCUAAAUAUGUGUAUGUGACCAAUAACAUCUGCUAAAUAUGUGUAUGUGAUCAAUAACAUCUGCUAAAUAUGUGUAUGUGACCAAUAACAUCUGCUAAAUAUGUGUAUGUGACCAAUAACAUCUGCUAAAUAUGUGUAUGUGACCAAUAACAUCUGCUAAAUAUGUGUAUGUGACCAAUAACAUCUGCUAAAUAUGUGUAUGUGACCAAUAACAUCUGCUAAAUAUGUGUAUGUGACCAAUAACAUCUGCUAAAUAUGUGUAUGUGACCAAUAACAUCUGCUAAAUAUGUGUAUGUGACCAAUAACAUCUGCUAAAUAUGUGUAUGUGACCAAUAACAUCUGCUAAAUAUGUGUAUGUGACCAAUAACAUCUGCUAAAUAUGUGUAUGUGACCAAUAACAUUUGAUUAGAAUGAGGUGUACUAAACACGCCUUGAAUGUUAAUCUCCUUGAUGUCCCUCACUUGGGGAUGCUAAAAUGUUUUUUCAUCUACUGAGCCAUUUACUUUAUGUUAGUAUUAUAUUUUUGGGGCGGCAGGUAGCCUAGUGGUUAGAGCGUUGGGCUGAGCUGACAAGGUACAAAUCUGUCUUUCUGCUCCUGAACAAGGCAGUUAACCCACUGUUCCCCGGUUGGCCAUCAUUGUAAAUAAGAAUUUGUUCUUAACUGACUUGCCUAGUUAAAUAAAGGUUCAAAUAAAAAAAAUAUUUGUAA
Long non-coding RNA from Salvelinus fontinalis (brook trout), 2635 nucleotides. RefSeq lists it as uncharacterized. The record is from RefSeq and is a predicted model, not a curated record. The transcript has 2 exons. NCBI's taxonomy places the organism in Eukaryota, Metazoa, Chordata, Actinopteri, Salmoniformes, Salmonidae.